GAUGAACGCUGGCGGCGUGCCUAAUACAUGCCAGUCGAGCGAACAGACGAGGAGCUUGCUCCUCUGACGUUAGCGGCGGACGGGUGAGUAACACGUGGAUAACCUACCUAUAAGACUGGGAUAAAUUCGGGAAACCGGAGCUAAUACCGGAUAAUAUAUUGAACCGCAUGGUUCAAUAGUGAAAGACGGUUUUGCUGUCACUUAUAGAUGGAUCCGCGCCGCAUUAGCUAGUUGGUAAGGUAACGGCUUACCAAGGCAACGAUGCGUAGCCGACCUGAGAGGGUGAUCGGCCACACUGGAACUGAGACACGGUCCAGACUCCUACGGGAGGCAGCAGUAGGGAAUCUUCCGCAAUGGGCGAAAGCCUGACGGAGCAACGCCGCGUGAGUGAUGAAGGUCUUCGGAUCGUAAAACUCUGUUAUUAGGGAAGAACAAAUGUGUAAGUAACUAUGCACGUCUUGACGGUACCUAAUCAGAAAGCCACGGCUAACUACGUG
This 497-nucleotide ribosomal RNA is filed under the name uncultured bacterium. RNAcentral describes it as "partial 16S ribosomal RNA". It matches the Rfam family "Bacterial small subunit ribosomal RNA", at positions 28 to 507 of the family's 1533-position model. The record is from RNAcentral.